UUUGAGGGAGACCCAAAUCAAAGUAAAAAGUAGAARGUAAAAAGUAAAAAGAAAGAAUGAAGAAAAUCUUUUGACUUUUAAGUUUAAACUUUUGCCUUGAAUCAUCCCGAGGUCGGUCGUAGGGUAGUAAUAUAAGCUUUCAAACUAUAGAAUGGUUCGGAAUAUGGGCUAUUAGCUCAGGUGGUUAGAGCGCACCCCUGAUAAGGGUGAGGUCCCUGGUUCGAGUCCAGGAUGGCCCACCUGAAGCAAGUAAAAAGAGCAAAGUCAAAAGUCAAAAGAAAAAACCAGAUUUUUCAUUUGCCUUUGAACUUUUAACUUUUGCCUUGUGUUGGGGGGGUUUAGCUYAGUCGGUAGAGCGCCUGCUUUGCAAGCAGGAUGUCAGGAGUUCGAGUCUCCUAACCUCCACCUGUAAAAUGUCAAAACGGAUCUAAAAAGUUUAGCACCUGAAUCAAAAGAGUCAGUCUGCUGGAUUUGUAUCCAGUCAGAACCUUGAAAACUGCAUAGAGAAGCGAAUUGUAGGUAGUAAGUAGUUUUUAAUAGUUAAUUGGUAAAUGAAAGACCAACGAGCAAUUAAAAAYUACUAGUACAAACAGCAAUGAAUAUGUGAAAAGU
This 612-nucleotide transfer RNA is filed under the name Pelatocladus maniniholoensis HA4357-MV3. RNAcentral's name for it is "16S-23S ribosomal RNA intergenic spacer". The stretch from base 333 to 405 matches the Rfam family "tRNA". The record is from RNAcentral. Lineage: Bacteria; Bacillati; Cyanobacteriota; Cyanophyceae; Nostocales; Hapalosiphonaceae.